Molecule: ribosomal RNA, 1471 nt
Filed under: Bacillus altitudinis
Lineage: Bacteria; Bacillati; Bacillota; Bacilli; Caryophanales; Bacillaceae
Description: bacterial SSU rRNA
Rfam family: Bacterial small subunit ribosomal RNA
Source: RNAcentral
GNCNANAUGACGGCGUGCAUAUACAUGCAAGUCGAGCGGACAGAAGGGAGCUUGCUCCCGGAUGUUAGCGGCGGACGGGUGAGUAACACGUGGGUAACCUGCCUGUAAGACUGGGAUAACUCCGGGAAACCGGAGCUAAUACCGGAUAGUUCCUUGAACCGCAUGGUUCAAGGAUGAAAGACGGAGUUUUCNGGGCGUGUCACCUUANCAGAUGGANCCCNNGCGGCGCAUUAGCUAGUUGGUGAGGUAACGGCUCACCAAGGCGACGAUGCGUAGCCGACCUGAGAGGGUGAUCGGCCACACUGGGACUGAGACACGGCCCAGACUCCUACCGGGAGGCAGCAGUAGGGAAUCUUCCGCAAUGGACGAAAGUCUGACGGAGCAACGCCGCGUGAGUGAUGAAGGUUUUCGGAUCGUAAAGCUCUGUUGUUAGGGAAGAACAAGUGCAAGAGUAACUGCUUGCACCUUGACGGUACCUAACCAGAAAGCCACGGCUAACUACGUGCCAGCAGCCGCGGUAAUACGUAGGUGGCAAGCGUUGUCCGGAAUUAUUGGGCGUAAAGGGCUCGCAGGCGGUUUCUUAAGUCUGAUGUGAAAGCCCCCGGCUCAACCGGGGAGGGUCAUUGGAAACUGGGAAACUUGAGUGCAGAAGAGGAGAGUGGAAUUCCACGUGUAGCGGUGAAAUGCGUAGAGAUGUGGAGGAACACCAGUGGCGAAGGCGACUCUCUGGUCUGUAACUGACGCUGAGGAGCGAAAGCGUGGGGAGCGAACAGGAUUAGAUACCCUGGUAGUCCACGCCGUAAACGAUGAGUGCUAAGUGUUAGGGGGUUUCCGCCCCUUAGUGCUGCAGCUAACGCAUUAAGCACUCCGCCUGGGGAGUACGGUCGCAAGACUGAAACUCAAAGGAAUUGACGGGGGCCCGCACAAGCGGUGGAGCAUGUGGUUUAAUUCGAAGCAACGCGAAGAACCUUACCAGGUCUUGACAUCCUCUGACAACCCUAGAGAUAGGGCUUUCCCUUCGGGGACAGAGUGACAGGUGGUGCAUGGUUGUCGUCAGCUCGUGUCGUGAGAUGUUGGGUUAAGUCCCGCAACGAGCGCAACCCUUGAUCUUAGUUGCCAGCAUUCAGUUGGGCACUCUAAGGUGACUGCCGGUGACAAACCGGAGGAAGGUGGGGAUGACGUCAAAUCAUCAUGCCCCUUAUGACCUGGGCUACACACGUGCUACAAUGGACAGAACAAAGGGCUGCGAGACCGCAAGGUUUAGCCAAUCCCACAAAUCUGUUCUCAGUUCGGAUCGCAGUCUGCAACUCGACUGCGUGAAGCUGGAAUCGCUAGUAAUCGCGGAUCAGCAUGCCGCGGUGAAUACGUUCCCGGGCCUUGUACACACCGCCCGUCACACCACGAGAGUUUGCAACACCCGAAGUCGGUGAGGUAACCUUUAUGGAGCCAGCCGCCGAAGGUGGGCAAAANG